This is a non-coding RNA of Ciona intestinalis (vase tunicate), 71 nucleotides long. NCBI's taxonomy places the organism in Eukaryota, Metazoa, Chordata, Ascidiacea, Phlebobranchia, Cionidae. The record is from Rfam.
CUGUUUCGUGAUUGUCCAAACGCAAGCUCAGUUUUAAAAUACUGCGAUUGUGUCUGGACAUCUCAAAUCAG